Non-coding RNA from Vicia faba (fava bean), 243 nucleotides. The record is from the annotation of a GenBank genome assembly. Lineage: Eukaryota; Viridiplantae; Streptophyta; Magnoliopsida; Fabales; Fabaceae.
AUGAAACGUGUCUCACCAGAAAAACAAAAUAAUGAUAAUAAGCCAACACCAACAAACCUCACUUCUUCUCUCUUUCUCUAUCUAACCCCAACAAACCUCACUCUUCAUCUCUCUAGGGUUUCCCCACGAACUCCAUCGCAGCGCUCAUUCGCCCCUUUCUCGAUCACGAAUUCUCCAAUUUCUCCAUUUCAUACUCGAUUCCCUCUCGUUUCUACACCUAGACACGAAAGGAUUGUUAUGUAA